GAGUGGGUACCUGCGGUGGGGGCUGGGCCGCUCUGGGGUGUGAGGAGACAAAGGGAUCUCGUCCAAGUCGCCUCUUUCUCGCUUUGGAGCUCGAUGCCCUGGCUGUCUCGGCGGUAAAGCCAUUGGGGUCCCGCCCCGGCCGCAGUGAGUGCGGUGUCCUGUUCCAGGGGUGCCCUGGAGCCACUUUCCUUCUAGAGGCAGGGGCGCGUCAGGUGAGACAGGGCCCAUCUCUGAGCCUCAGCGUCCCCCUCUGUACAAUGGGGAUAAGAGUGCUGAACCCACAGGGUCGCUGAGAGCAUUCAGUGAUAACACAGGAGUAAGCCUGUGGCCCUGUGGUUAUUUCGGGGUCAUGAAUGCCUGUAUGAAAUCAGGCCACUUCUUAUUCCUUAUUAACUUUCUUGUUACGGGACAAACGGGGAAAGGAGAAGAGAAAGGCCCUGCUUCUAAGGCCAGUGGCCGAGCUCAUAUCAAGUGUCUGAAGGAGGCAGAUUCUGAGGGUCUGUGUCCUGAGGUUCGGCUGGAGUUUCUACUCUAGAUUCAAGGGCAGCUGUCCUGAAGAGACCCCCAACACUUCACACGUCUUUGGUGGGAUCUGGCUCCUGGCUCAAGUUGUGGUGAUUAUGAAGAAAACUUCUACAGACAUCUGUGAACAGGUUUUUGUGUGGACAUAAGUUUUCAACUCCUUUGGGUACAUACCAAGAAACAUGAUUGCUGGAUCAUAUGGUGAAUUUCCAGGACUCAGGAUGAAAUUUGGACUGAACUUGCUUGGAAUGGAGUCCAUUCAAGGUCAUACACCAUGAGGGGUGCACAUAAUUUGGAGUCUGGGACCCACUCGGAGCUCUAGGAGGAGGUGACUGCGGUUCUGCAAGGAGGGACAGCUGAGCGAGAAUCAGAAUCUCUUUCUGGAUCUUAGUGCCUGAGCCACCCAGUGUGAGUUCCUUCUCCAGCCUGUUCCGUCACAUGGGUCUUCACUCAGCAUGCAUGACUCUUCACACCUCCAGUGACCCAGGGGCUACCAAGGUCAUGUUAAUGGUUUCACACAUUCUAGUUUCUUGUGGUGUUAUGGUGGCCUCAUAAAACCACCUUAACAUAUGAAGAAGAGGAAGGCUCUCCCUGCAGUCGUCGGAGGCUCCUCAAAGAGGAGCUGGGCCUGGGACAGUGGGCAGGACUUCUGUGGGCUGAAUGGGAGGGAGGGGCCGGGGAGUCCAUGCUGACUGGAGUGAAGAGUGGGGGCUCCCAGGUGAGCAGACAGGGCUCAGAGGUAACUGAUGGGUCACCCCAGGGAAGUGAGGCCGUCCAGGUGUAGGACGGAUUGGGAAAGGAACACAUUUGCUUCCAUGGGAUGCUGCAUAGCCCCUUUGUACACUGAAGUGGCAUAAGAACGCUAAGAAGGAGCAUGCCCUGCACAUCUAUCACUGGUCCCCGGGGGCCGGGAAGAACCAGGAGCACUGACAGUAGUGAAGUGGAGUUGAUGCUCAGGCCCCCAAACCUCCAUUGAAGUAGGAAGCAGGCAUCAAGGGGAAGGAUUCAUGACAGAGGGACCUCCCUGUGCCAUCUGGAAACCAUACAUCCUCUUUAGUUUCUGGCCCCAGGUCCCAGGUCCACCUGCCAGCGGGAUCCUACCUGCCUCCUGGAGUCACAUUCUUAGUCAGAACACGCUGUCCACAGGCGAGCUCUCUCCAUGUUCUCAUUUGUUGCACCUCUGCAUUGUCACCAAGAUCACU
This 1724-nucleotide long non-coding RNA is filed under the name Sus scrofa (pig). RNAcentral describes it as "lncRNA (ENSSSCG00005008774.1)". The record is from RNAcentral. Lineage: Eukaryota; Metazoa; Chordata; Mammalia; Artiodactyla; Suidae.